This 503-nucleotide ribosomal RNA is filed under the name uncultured bacterium. Its description in RNAcentral is "bacterial SSU rRNA". It matches the Rfam family "Bacterial small subunit ribosomal RNA", at positions 23 to 518 of the family's 1533-position model. The record is from RNAcentral.
CUCAGGAUGAACGCUAGCGGCAGGCUUAACACAUGCAAGUCGAGGGGCAGCGAGGAUAGCAAUAUCUGUCGGCGACCGGCGGAAGGGUGAGUAACGCGUGAGCAACAUGCCCGCAUCAGGGGGAUAGUCACUGGAAACGGUGCGUAAUACCCCCGUAACAUCGUGUGAGGCAUCUCAUAUGGUUGAAAGAUUGAUCGGAUGCGGAUUGGCUCGCGUGCCAUUAGGUAGACGGCGGGGUAACGGCCCACCGUGCCGACGAUGGCUAGGGGUUCUGAGAGGAAGGUCCCCCACAUUGGAACUGAGACACGGUCCAGACUCCUACGGGAGGCAGCAGUGAGGAAUAUUGGACAAUGGCCGGGAGGCUGAUCCAGCCAUGCCGCGUGAAUGGAGUAAGGCCCUAUGGGUCGUAAACAUUCUUUUCUCGGGGGGCAAUAAGGGCCACGUGCUGGUCCGAUGAGAGUACCCGGGGAAUAAGCAUCGGCUAACUCCGUGCCAGCCGCAGC